GUAGGUGAACCUGCGGAAGGAUCAUUAACAAUUAUCCAAUCCCAUAUGGAUGGUUUAAAUCCAUAUCCACCUUGUGUGCACCCAUUGAAAUGUUUGCUUUGGCAGCGCAGAGUCUGUUUGUUAACAACUUUACAGCGAGGGGUCAUACUCUCGGCCUGCCAAGGUUUUUUUUUUUUCCUUCACUCUAAAAACACUCUGCUCAAACUUUUUUGUCAGUCUGAAAUUUUAUAAAAAUAAAAUCAAAUACAAC
Molecule: unclassified non-coding RNA, 250 nt
Filed under: plant metagenome
Description: partial contains small subunit ribosomal RNA, internal transcribed spacer 1, and 5.8S ribosomal RNA
Source: RNAcentral